Molecule: ribosomal RNA, 253 nt
Filed under: uncultured bacterium
Lineage: Bacteria
Description: partial 16S ribosomal RNA
Rfam family: Bacterial small subunit ribosomal RNA
Source: RNAcentral
UACGUAGGGUGCAAGCGUUAAUCGGAAUUACUGGGCGUAAAGCGUGCGCAGGCGGUUUUGUAAGCCAGAUGUGAAAUCCCCGGGCUUAACCUGGGAAUGGCAUUUGGGACUGCAAGGCUGGAGUGUGGCAGAGGAGACUGGAAUUCCUGGUGUAGCAGUGAAAUGCGUAGAUAUCAGGAGGAAUACCGAUGGCGAAGGCAGGUCUCUGGGCUGACACUGACGCUCAUGCACGAAAGCGUGGGGAGCAAACAGG